RNAcentral lists this ribosomal RNA (652 nucleotides) under Paenibacillus illinoisensis. Its description in RNAcentral is "bacterial SSU rRNA". It matches the Rfam family "Bacterial small subunit ribosomal RNA", at positions 62 to 694 of the family's 1533-position model. Lineage: Bacteria; Bacillati; Bacillota; Bacilli; Caryophanales; Paenibacillaceae. The record is from RNAcentral.
UCGAGCGGACUUGAAGAGAAGCUUGCUUCUCUGAUGGUUAGCGGCGGACGGGUGAGUAACACGUAGGCAACCUGCCCUCAAGCUUGGGACAACUACCGGAAACGGUAGCUAAUACCGAAUACUUGCUUCCUUCGCCUGAAGGGAGCUGGAAAGACGGAGCAAUCUGUCACUUGAGGAUGGGCCUGCGGCGCAUUAGCUAGUUGGUGAGGUAACGGCUCACCAAGGCGACGAUGCGUAGCCGACCUGAGAGGGUGAUCGGCCACACUGGGACUGAGACACGGCCCAGACUCCUACGGGAGGCAGCAGUAGGGAAUCUUCCGCAAUGGGCGAAAGCCUGACGGAGCAAUGCCGCGUGAGUGAUGAAGGUUUUCGGAUCGUAAAGCUCUGUUGCCAGGGAAGAACGUCCUUGAGAGUAACUGCUCAAGGAGUGACGGUACCUGAGAAGAAAGCCCCGGCUAACUACGUGCCAGCAGCCGCGGUAAUACGUAGGGGGCAAGCGUUGUCCGGAAUUAUUGGGCGUAAAGCGCGCGCAGGCGGUCAUUUAAGUCUGGUGUUUAAUCCCGGGGCUCAACCCCGGAUCGCACUGGAAACUGGGUGACUUGAGUGCAGAAGAGGAGAGUGGAAUUCCACGUGUAGCGGUGAAAUGCGUAGA